AGAGUUUGAUCCUGGCUCAGAUUGAACGCUGGCGGCAUGCCUUACACAUGCAAGUCGAACGGUAACAGGCCGCAAGGUGCUGACGAGUGGCGAACGGGUGAGUAAUGCAUCGGAACGUGCCCAGUAGUGGGGGAUAGCCCGGCGAAAGCCGGAUUAAUACCGCAUACGACCUACGGGUGAAAGCGGGGGACCGAAAGGCCUCGCGCUAUUGGAGCGGCCGAUGUCAGAUUAGGUAGUUGGUGGGGUAAAGGCCUACCAAGCCUACGAUCUGUAGCUGGUCUGAGAGGACGACCAGCCACACUGGGACUGAGACACGGCCCAGACUCCUACGGGAGGCAGCAGUGGGGAAUUUUGGACAAUGGGCGCAAGCCUGAUCCAGCCGUGCCGCGUGCGGGAAGAAGGCCUUCGGGUUGUAAACCGCUUUUGUCAGGGAAGAAAUCUUCUGGGUUAAUACCUCGGGAGGAUGACGGUACCUGAAGAAUAAGCACCGGCUAACUACGUGCCAGCAGCCGCGGUAAU
RNAcentral lists this ribosomal RNA (519 nucleotides) under uncultured bacterium. Its description in RNAcentral is "bacterial SSU rRNA". It matches the Rfam family "Bacterial small subunit ribosomal RNA", at positions 8 to 524 of the family's 1533-position model. The record is from RNAcentral.